Long non-coding RNA from Stegodyphus dumicola, 761 nucleotides. RefSeq lists it as uncharacterized. NCBI's taxonomy places the organism in Eukaryota, Metazoa, Arthropoda, Arachnida, Araneae, Eresidae. The record is from RefSeq and is a predicted model, not a curated record.
AUUAAAAAAAAAGUUAAAUCUGUCCUGCGCUAUAGCUUCAGGAUUGAAGUAAAAUGAACUUAAAACAUCUAGUUAAAAUUAAAUUGAAAUCAAACCAAGGCAAUUCCGCAACAAUAUUAAGAAUUGCAACUGUGGUAUAAGAUUUAUGAUUCAUUUGAAGAUACAUCAGACUGAUCACCAUUCAUAUAAAAAUCUACUAUCCUAAUCUUCACCUCAUCUACACGUGCCUCAAAGAUGACAAUCUAAAGUCAUCACUUUGGAUGCAAUAAUCACCCCAAAAUUUUAUAUAACUGAUCACAUUUCAAGACAAUGGAUGAAACUGAGAAAUAAGCAACAAAUGUUAGCAAAGUGCUUUGAAACCGACAGUGAGGACAAGGCAGGGAAGUGGAUGAGCAUUUCAGUAAAGGAGUAUUUAUAAGAGUUGGAUUUCCAUUAUUUAAAUUUUAGACUGACUGAAUAAAAAUACCUACAAUGUUAUUUUUACAUAAUGGUGCAAUGUGGAUUAAUUUUCAGAUGACAUAUUUUAGACUGCCUGGUUGUGCAUCUACUUGAGUUUGCAGUACCAGCAAUUAAUAAAACUAGUACUUUAGAUUCCAGGAAGGGUACAUAGCCAAAUCAAAAGGACUAAAGCUAAAUUAUAGUAGUUUUUUUUUUCAUAUUUUAUAUCUCAUAUAUUUAUAAUGGUAUAAAUUAAGGAUAUAAAUUAACUGCUAUUGUUUAUCUUUUACUGCAUCAUGAAAAAAUAAAAUUAAGGAUAUAAA